UACGAAGGGGGCUAGCGUUGCUCGGAAUCACUGGGCGUAAAGCGCACGUAGGCGGACUCUUAAGUCAGGGGUGAAAUCCUGGAGCUCAACUCCAGAACUGCCUUUGAUACUGGCUGUCUUGAGUACGGGAGAGGUGAGUGGAACUCCGAGUGUAGAGGUGAAAUUCGUAGAUAUUCGGAAGAACACCAGUGGCGAAGGCGACUCACUGGCCCGUUACUGACGCUGAGGCGCGAAAGCGUGGGGAGCAAACAGG
Molecule: ribosomal RNA, 253 nt
Filed under: uncultured bacterium
Lineage: Bacteria
Description: partial 16S ribosomal RNA
Rfam family: Bacterial small subunit ribosomal RNA
Source: RNAcentral